This 75-nucleotide small nucleolar RNA is filed under the name Salvator merianae (Argentine black and white tegu). Its description in RNAcentral is "Small nucleolar RNA SNORD37 (ENSSMRG00000016363.1)". The record is from RNAcentral. Lineage: Eukaryota; Metazoa; Chordata; Lepidosauria; Squamata; Teiidae.
GAGCAUGAUGGAAAACCAAAAUUUCUUCACUUUGACCUGACAUGUUCUGUUUGAAGAAGUUUUAAAAGUCUGACG